This is a long non-coding RNA of Xenopus laevis (African clawed frog), 648 nucleotides long. RefSeq lists it as uncharacterized. Lineage: Eukaryota; Metazoa; Chordata; Amphibia; Anura; Pipidae. The transcript has 2 exons. The record is from RefSeq and is a predicted model, not a curated record.
CAUUAUAAAAGGACCUUGUAUAAAUCAUCCCAUUACAGGUGAGGUAAUCAAACUAAAGUCAUACGCCACAUGUAAAACCAGCCACGUAAUUUAUGCUCUGAAAUGUCCCUGCGGGAAAAUGUACGUAGGGAAGACAAUAAGGUCUGUCAGUACUAGGAUAAAAGAGCAUAAAGGCAAUAUACGCAAUUUUAAAAAUGACACCUAUACUGACACUCCUGUAGCCAGACAUUUUGAUACUGUAAAACAUAAUGUAUGUCAGCUAAAGUGGAUAGUGUUAGAGACAGUAGCAAAACCCAGUAGAGGAGGUGAUCAUAACUUGAUACUAUUGCAGAGGGAGGCCAGAUGGAUGAAGCGCUUGGAUAGUGCUUAUCCGAAAGGGUUAAAUGAGCAGUGCAAUUUAUCAUGUUUUCUUUAAUAGUAAUGGCUUGUCGUCCUUUGUUCCCAGGAAUUAUAACUAGAUUCCAAGUUGUAAUGACAUGGAACUCCUGCUGCAUUUACAUAUGGGUCUUUUACAGGUUAGGCGGAUUGAGCAGUAACCUGGUUUUAACAUUAUGUUUCAGUGGGAUUUCAACAUGUAUUAUAUGAAAUAAUGUGUGUCACUUUUAAUAGCUAGAUGAAUUGGGUCACAAUAAGUUUUUACAAUAUUUA